This 852-nucleotide ribosomal RNA is filed under the name Salinibacterium sp. Its description in RNAcentral is "bacterial SSU rRNA". It matches the Rfam family "Bacterial small subunit ribosomal RNA", at positions 72 to 943 of the family's 1533-position model. Lineage: Bacteria; Bacillati; Actinomycetota; Actinomycetes; Micrococcales; Microbacteriaceae. The record is from RNAcentral.
AACUGCUCUGGUGGUUAGUGGCGAACGGGUGAGUAACACGUGAGUAACCUGCCCUUGACUCUGGGAUAAGCGUUGGAAACGACGUCUAAUACCGGAUACGAGCUUCAGCCGCAUGGCUAGGAGUUGGAAAGAAUUUCGGUCAAGGAUGGACUCGCGGCCUAUCAGCUAGUUGGUGAGGUAAUGGCUCACCAAGGCGACGACGGGUAGCCGGCCUGAGAGGGUGACCGGCCACACUGGGACUGAGACACGGCCCAGACUCCUACGGGAGGCAGCAGUGGGGAAUAUUGCACAAUGGGCGCAAGCCUGAUGCAGCAACGCCGCGUGAGGGACGACGGCCUUCGGGUUGUAAACCUCUUUUAGCAGGGAAGAAGCGAAAGUGACGGUACCUGCAGAAAAAGCACCGGCUAACUACGUGCCAGCAGCCGCGGUAAUACGUAGGGUGCAAGCGUUGUCCGGAAUUAUUGGGCGUAAAGAGCUCGUAGGCGGUUUGUCGCGUCUGCUGUGAAAACGCGAGGCUCAACCUCGCGCCUGCAGUGGGUACGGGCAAACUAGAGUGCGGUAGGGGAGAUUGGAAUUCCUGGUGUAGCGGUGGAAUGCGCAGAUAUCAGGAGGAACACCGAUGGCGAAGGCAGAUCUCUGGGCCGUAACUGACGCUGAGGAGCGAAAGCGUGGGGAGCGAACAGGAUUAGAUACCCUGGUAGUCCACGCCGUAAACGUUGGGAACUAGAUGUAGGGACCAUUCCACGGUUUCUGUGUCGCAGCUAACGCAUUAAGUUCCCCGCCUGGGGAGUACGGUCGCAGACUAAAACUCAAAGGAAUUGACGGGGCCCGCCACAAGCGGCGGAGCAUGCC